Ornithorhynchus anatinus (platypus) is the source of this 903-nucleotide long non-coding RNA. RefSeq lists it as uncharacterized. NCBI's taxonomy places the organism in Eukaryota, Metazoa, Chordata, Mammalia, Monotremata, Ornithorhynchidae. The transcript has 3 exons. The record is from RefSeq and is a predicted model, not a curated record.
ACCCCAGUGCUUGGCACAAAGUAAGCCCUUAACAAAUACCAGAAUUAUUAUCAUUAUUAUUUUCUCAAGUAGCAGGGCUAGCUUGGGAAAAGGCCCUGGCCCCUGGAAAUGGCCUCUAGAUGGGCCAGUCUGUGAGAAGCUGCAUUCCUAUAUUGGGGAAUGGAAAGUCAGUUUUACAAGCUCUCUUUUGUUUUGAUUUAACCUCCCACUCGGGCAGAUAGCAUCAAAACAAAGAGGGUUUAAAUAUGCAUUUAACCUCUUUCCUUCCCCUACCUACCUGCUCUUGACUCACAGCCCCACCACGAGGAGAGGAGGAGGUGAAUGUGCCCUAACCCUGUUUGAAGGAUGGAAAAGGCAACGAGUGAAGGAAGAAGAAAAUUCUACAAUCAGCCCAUCAGAGGGGGAGUGGAUAUUGCUCACCAGGCCACCACUGUCCUGGCUACACAAGGACUUCAAUCUGGCCCUGGGUGCCAUGGAACAAUCUGACUGGAUUGCAGGAAGCCUUUCUCCAUUAACUGCAUCUUCUGCUUCAUCUGGAGGGAGCUCCGUGUCAAGAAGAGGCGUCUACAAUGCAGGACACUGAACUUGGCCUAGAGAAAAACCUGGAGAUUACGUACUGUGGAUUGAAUGCUCUUUGGAGGUCACUGAAGUACAGCUGUACCCACCCGCCCAUUGGAUCCAAUGAACUUCCUCAUAGUAAGGUAAUAUUUGUGGAAUGCGUGAGUGGAGCGCCCAGCACACUUUAUCUCACACUGUGGGCAUGUCCUUUGCCCUGCUUAUGGGAGGAGAGGGGGGAGUGCGUGCCACUCGUGAUGCUUUUCUGCGCUUUUGAAUUUGCCUUUUGGCCUCAAUCAUUUAACCAGUGUUAUUUAUUAAGGGCUUACUGUAUGUAGAGUGAUUCUG